Molecule: ribosomal RNA, 403 nt
Filed under: uncultured bacterium
Lineage: Bacteria
Description: bacterial SSU rRNA
Rfam family: Bacterial small subunit ribosomal RNA
Source: RNAcentral
UGGGGAAUAUUGGGCAAUGGAGGCAACUCUGACCCAGCCAUGCCGCGUGGGUGACGAAGGUCUUCGGAUUGUAAAGCCCUUUCGGCGGGGACGAUGAUGACGGUACCCGCAGAAGAAGCCCCGGCUAACUUCGUGCCAGCAGCCGCGGUAAUACGAAGGGGGCUAGCGUUGUUCGGAAUUACUGGGCGUAAAGGGCGUGUAGGCGGUCCGCUAAGACAGGUGUGAAAUUCCUGGGCUCAACCCAGGACGUGCGCCUGUGACUGACGGACUUGAGUCCGGGAGAGGAUGGUGGAACUCCCAGUGUAGAGGUGAAAUUCGUAGAUAUUGGGAAGAACACCCGUGGCGAAGGCGGCCAUCUGGACCGGUACUGACGCUAAGGCGCGACAGCGUGGGGAGCAAACAG